Molecule: unclassified non-coding RNA, 260 nt
Filed under: uncultured fungus
Lineage: Eukaryota; Fungi
Description: partial contains 5.8S ribosomal RNA, internal transcribed spacer 2, and large subunit ribosomal RNA
Rfam family: 5.8S ribosomal RNA (bases 1-52)
Source: RNAcentral
AACGCACAUUGCGCCCUUUGGUAUUCCGAAGGGCAUGCCUGUUCGAGCGUCAUUUCAAACCCUCAAGCUUAUGCUUGGUGUUGGGCUAUCGUCUUGUAAAAGAGACGUGCCUGAAACUCAUUGGCAGUAGCGCCUAACUCUUCAGCGUAGUUAAAUUUUUAUUUCGCUUUGGUAGUUUUUAGGCAUUACCCGCCAGAUGAACCCCCCCAAUUUUUCUAUGGUUUGACCUCGGAUCAGGUAGGGAUACCCGCUGAACUUAA